This 455-nucleotide ribosomal RNA is filed under the name Corynebacterium sp. 'ARUP UnID 252'. Its description in RNAcentral is "bacterial SSU rRNA". It matches the Rfam family "Bacterial small subunit ribosomal RNA", at positions 38 to 504 of the family's 1533-position model. Lineage: Bacteria; Bacillati; Actinomycetota; Actinomycetes; Mycobacteriales; Corynebacteriaceae. The record is from RNAcentral.
GGCGGCGUGCUUAACACAUGCAAGUCGAACGGAAAGGCCUCUGCUUGCAGAGGUACUCGAGUGGCGAACGGGUGAGUAACACGUGGGUGAUCUGCCUUGCACUUCGGGAUAAGCCUGGGAAACUGGGUCUAAUACCGGAUAGGACCAUGCUUUAGUGUGUGUGGUGGAAAGUUUUUCGGUGCAAGAUGAGCCCGCGGCCUAUCAGCUUGUUGGUGGGGUAAUGGCCUACCAAGGCGACGACGGGUAGCCGGCCUGAGAGGGUGUACGGCCACAUUGGGACUGAGACACGGCCCAGACUCCUACGGGAGGCAGCAGUGGGGAAUAUUGCACAAUGGGCGCAAGCCUGAUGCAGCGACGCCGCGUGGGGGAUGAAGGCCUUCGGGUUGUAAACUCCUUUCGCUAGGGAAGAAGCCUUUUUGGUGACGGUACCUGGAUAAGAAGCACCGGCUAACUAC